AUUGAACGCUGGCGGCAGGCCUAACACAUGCAAGUCGAGCGGAUGAAGGGAGCCUGCUCCUGGAUUCAGCGGCGGACGGGUGAGUAAUGCCUAGGAAUCUGCCUGGUAGUGGGGGAUAACGUCCGGAAACGGGCGCUAAUACCGCAUACGUCCUGAGGGAGAAAGUGGGGGAUCUUCGGACCUCACGCUAUCAGAUGAGCCUAGGUCGGAUUAGCUAGUUGGUGGGGUAAAGGCCUACCAAGGCGACGAUCCGUAACUGGUCUGAGAGGAUGAUCAGUCACACUGGAACUGAGACACGGUCCAGACUCCUACGGGGGGCAGCAGUGGGGAAUAUUGGACAAUGGGCGAAAGCCUGAUCCAGCCAUGCCGCGUGUGUGAAGAAGGUCUUCGGAUUGUAAAGCACUUUAAGUUGGGAGGAAGGGCAGUAAGUUAAUACCUUGCUGUUUUGACGUUACCAACAGAAUAAGCACCGGCUAACUUCGUG
Molecule: ribosomal RNA, 484 nt
Filed under: uncultured bacterium
Lineage: Bacteria
Description: partial 16S ribosomal RNA
Rfam family: Bacterial small subunit ribosomal RNA
Source: RNAcentral